RNAcentral lists this ribosomal RNA (460 nucleotides) under uncultured bacterium. RNAcentral describes it as "partial 16S ribosomal RNA". It matches the Rfam family "Bacterial small subunit ribosomal RNA", at positions 338 to 795 of the family's 1533-position model. The record is from RNAcentral.
CCUACGGGAGGCUGCAGUGAGGAAUAUUGGUCAAUGGACGAGAGUCUGAACCAGCCAAGUAGCGUGAAGGAUGACUGCCCUAUGGGUUGUAAACUUCUUUUAUAUGGGAAUAAAAUGUUCCACGUGUGGGAUUUUGUAUGUACCAUAUGAAUAAGGAUCGGCUAACUCCGUGCCAGCAGCCGCGGUAAUACGGAGGAGCCGAGCGUUAUCCGGAUUUAUUGGGGUUAAAGGGAGCGUAGGUGGAUUGUUAAGUCAGUUGUGAAAGUUUGCGGCUCAACCGGAAAAUUGCAGUUGAAACUGGCAGUCUUGAGUACAGUAGAGGUGGGCGGAAUUCGUGGUGUAGCGGUGAAAUGCUUAGAUAUCACGAAGAACUCCGAUUGCGAAGGCAGUUCACUGGACUGCAACUGACACUGAGGCUCGAAAGUGUGGGUAUCAAACAGGAUUAGAUACCCUAGUAGUC